RNAcentral lists this transfer RNA (71 nucleotides) under Cheumatopsyche charites. Its description in RNAcentral is "tRNA-Asn". The record is from RNAcentral. Lineage: Eukaryota; Metazoa; Arthropoda; Insecta; Trichoptera; Hydropsychidae.
UUAAUUGAAACCAAUACUGAGGUUAAUCACUGUUAAUGAUUUAAUAGAAAAUAUUUAAUUUUCCAAUUAAA